GAUGAAGUUCUGCUCAAUUAGGGGACGCUCAUAUAUUUGAUGAUUAGAAUAAGAAUAAAUAGACAUUUAUUCCGACAGAAAAAUACAGCGAAUGACACGUGCAUCAUCGUCAGACAAUAAUAUCACACAAAUUUCCCUUAUUGCUCUUCCUGCAAUACAUCAAAUGUGAAUUUUAACAUUUUGAGCCGAUGACCUAUUUUUGUCAUAACUGCUCCGAUGCAAACUGGCUCCAUAGACUGCGCUGAGAGCAUCACGUCUUCUUAAGACUCUCUAACAGUGAUGUUGCCAUAAAAUACGGGGUAUUAAUUAUGACUGCAAUAUAUGAGUAAGGCAAUUAUAUCAGACAGGCGCAGUCGCUGCAACGAGGACUAAUUGCAUUAUUAAAAGCUAAAAUAUUGUAAACAAGACGAACGUGCCACACAUGCUUCUCUACACGUGAAUGCACCGUAUCUAUCUAUCUAUCUAUCUAUCUAUCUAUCUAUCUAUCUAUCUAUCUAUCUAUCAUGAAAUCUGACACAUCAACGCGUUACCAUUAAGGAAAGGCCUAUUGAGAGACACUGAAAAGUUUUACUUGAUUAGUCUCAAUUUCCAGCCACCAUUAGCUGCUUUAAACAGGCCCGAGGUGACUACAAAUGAGCGUCAUCGCUUGGGCAAUAUUUACAACUUAGUUUCAAAACACAAUUAAAAAGAACUUGCACGGGAAAUGACAACAGAAAGGCCGUGCAACAGUGCAAACUGGGGUGUCUGACCGGGAAAUGCUCCACUGCAUGACUGAGGUGACCAGGCUCCGUAGCCGCGUGCACUGGUUACGGGCUACGCUCCUCUGGCUUCCUCCGGAGUCCUGUCUGGUCAGAGCUCCUGCAGACAGUGGUAACUAGGAUUUACACAAGCUCCAGUCUGGAUCCAGAACACCUGAGAAGAGAUGAUGCUGACCCUCAGAGGACCCCAGAUGAUGCUAACCCUGAAUCAACAAACAGAACUAACAAUUAUUGCUACAAGUGUGACUGCAUCAUAUAAUAAUUAUUAAUUAAUAAUAUUAAUAAUGUUCAUCAUCUGGCUGACUACGUCUUGCAUUAUUUUCUACAAAUCCUGUUAUAGGUGCACAAACUGACAGUCACCACUAAUAAACUAUUACUAAAUAUUGUAGAAACAUAAUUUUCUGUAAAGUUGCUUUCUAACGAUUUGUAUUGUAAAAAGCGCUAUACAGAUAAACUUGAAUUGAAUUGAAUUAUCUGAGCAAGUCAAUAAAAUUUAAUAUCAAUAAAAAAGAAAAUCAACAAAAUGUAUACAUUUUUUAAUCAAUAAAACUUAACACACAGUUCAAUACAGUUCAAACAAGGCCAAAUGUAAAAAAAAAAAAAAAAAAAAGAAAAUAUAUAUACAUACAUACAUAUACCACGGUCAUAUAUAUAUAUAUAUAUAUAUAUAUAUAUAUAUAUAUACACACACACAUACAUUUCAGAUAAAUGCUGUUCUUUUAAACUUUCAAUUCAUGUAAGAAACCUGAAAAGAUUGUACUCGGCUGUUUUCAACAUAACAUAACAACAACAAUAAUAAUAAUAAUCAGAAAUGUUUCUGAGCAGUAAAUCAUCAUAUUUUCAUGAUUUCUGAAGAUUAUGUGACACUGAAGACUGGAGGAAUGAUGCUGAAAAUACAGCGGAGCAUCACAGAAAUAAAUUACUCUAUAUAUUCUAAUAUAAAGCAGCUGAUUUAAAAUAGUAAGAAUAUUUAAAAUGCUACUUUUUUUUGCUGUACUUUGGAUCAAAUAAAGGCAUGCUUGGUGAGCAGAAGAGACUCCUCAAAAAACAUUACAAAUCUUUCUGCUGAAAAACAUUUGACUGGUAGAGUAUUUUAAAUAAAAUAAUUAUUUACAGAGUUUAAUAUUAGCCAUUACUAACAUUUAGUGUUUACAAAACUGAGCAAGAUAAAAUAACAAUACAAAGUCAAUACAAUUAAUUAACACACUAAAGUACAGUGUAAACAAGGCCAAUACUUCUGAUGUUUUAUUUAACAACUGGAAAUAAAUUAAAUAAUUUAAAAUUGUAGACUAAACAACAACAGCUACAAUAAUAUUAAUAAUAAUACAAUUUAAAGUUGUGGAAAACAUAGAAAAACAACAACAACAAAAAACAAGCCUUCGGCCUGUUGAAGAAGAUCCUUGCUCCUAUGGUGCGUUGCCAAGAGAUCUUCACGGGCAAUUCUCAGCAGAUCUGUCCAUCUAUGGUCCAACACGAAGACCAGCCGUUCUGAGGGGUCCAGUGUGAGCUGAACGAGGGACGCAGUUAUGGCCGAUGGUGUGGUGUUCUACAGAAGAUGAACAGGAUUACUUUAUUGCAAUAUUUGUCUUGGUGUUAUGUGCACAUAUGAGACAGACAGUUUACACACAUAAGUGCCUGUAUGAAUAAUUUAUUUACCUGCAUCUGGAAGAAACCCUUCUGACCUUUGAUCCUCCGCUGUCAAAGUGUCUGGUGUGAUGUUUUGGUGGACUGAGACCGUCUUUAGGGUGACCUACUCUGCGGAGGAUGGGUCUUGACAGAGGAUGCUUCAUCUAAACAUUCCUGAAAUAUAGAUUCAAAUUAAAUAUAUCAAAUGUAUUUUAUAAUUCAUAAUAUAUAUAAUUUUAGAUUAAA
Molecule: long non-coding RNA, 2630 nt
Organism: Carassius auratus (goldfish)
Lineage: Eukaryota; Metazoa; Chordata; Actinopteri; Cypriniformes; Cyprinidae
Source: Ensembl